Molecule: ribosomal RNA, 392 nt
Filed under: uncultured bacterium
Lineage: Bacteria
Description: partial 16S ribosomal RNA
Rfam family: Bacterial small subunit ribosomal RNA
Source: RNAcentral
AUACGGAGGAUGCGAGCGUUAUCCGGAUUUAUUGGGUUUAAAGGGAGCGUAGGCGGGAGCUUAAGUCAGCGGUUAAAUGGUGCGGCUCAACCGUGCCCUGCCGUUGAAACUGGGUUUCUUGAGAGUGCAAGAGGCGGAUGGAAUUCAUGGUGUAGCGGUGAAAUGCUUAGAUAUCAUGAAGAACUCCGAUUGCGAAGGCAGUCCGCUGGGGCACGUCUGACGCUGAUGCUCGAAGGUGCGGGAAUCAAACAGGAUUAGAUACCCUGGUAGUCCGUACGGUAAACGAUGAUUACCCGCUGUCGGCGGCAGACAGUCGGCGGCCAAGCGAAAGCGAUAAGUAAUCCACCUGGGGAGUACGCCGGCAACGGUGAAACUCAAAUGAAUUGACGGGG